AGAGUUUGAUCCUGGCUCAGGAUGAACGCUAGCGGCAGGCUUAACACAUGCAAGUCGAGGGGUAACAGGGUUUAGUUUACUAGAUUGCUGACGACCGGCGCACGGGUGAGUAGCGCGUAUACAAUUUACCUUUUACAGGAGAGUAGCCCAGAGAAAUUUGGAUUAAUGCUCCAUGGUAUUAUCGAGUGGCAUCACUUGAUGAUUAAAGAUUUAUCGGUAAAAGAUGAGUAUGCGUCCUAUUAGUUAGUUGGUGAGGUAACGGCUCACCAAGACUACGAUAGGUAGGGGUCCUGAGAGGGAGACCCCCCACACUGGUACUGAGACACGGACCAGACUCCUACGGGAGGCAGCAGUGAGGAAUAUUGGGCAAUGGAGGCAACUCUGACCCAGCCAUGCCGCGUGCAGGAAGACGGCCCUAUGGGUUGUAAACUGCUUUUAUAUAGGAAGAAACCUUUCCACGUGUGGAGAGCUGACGGUACUAUAUGAAUAAGCACCGGCUAACUCCGUGCCAGCAGCCGCGGUAAUACGGAGGGUGCAAGCGUUAUCCGGAAUCAUUGGGUUUAAAGGGUCCGUAGGCGGGCAAUUAAGUCAGGGGUGAAA
RNAcentral lists this ribosomal RNA (600 nucleotides) under uncultured bacterium. RNAcentral's name for it is "bacterial SSU rRNA". It matches the Rfam family "Bacterial small subunit ribosomal RNA", at positions 8 to 599 of the family's 1533-position model. The record is from RNAcentral.